AGCAGCCGCGGUAAUUCCAGCUCCAAUAGCGUAUAUUAAAGUUGUUGCAGUUAAAAAGCUCGUAGUUGAAUUUCGGGGUUCAUCCGUUGGUCGGGCUUUUUUGGUCUGUACUGGCGUGAUGGAUUCCUACCUUCUGAAUAACCAGCAUGUCAUUAAUUUGGUGCGCUGGGGAAGCAGGACUGUUACCUUGAAAAAUUAGAGUGCUUAAAGCAGGCUAUCGCCUGAAUACAUUAGCAUGGAAUAAUGAAAUAGGACGGCAUGGUUCUAUUUUGUUGGUUUCUAGGAUCACCGUAAUGAUUAAUAGGGAUAGUUGGGGGCAUUAGUAUUCAAUUGUCAGAGGUGAAAUUCUUGGAUUUAUUGAAGACUAACUUCUGCGAAAGCAUUUGCCAAGGAUGUUUUCAUUAAUCAAGAACGAAAGUUAGGGGAUCGAAGACGAUCAGAUACCGUCGU
This 450-nucleotide ribosomal RNA is filed under the name uncultured Acaulospora. Its description in RNAcentral is "SSU rRNA". It matches the Rfam family "Eukaryotic small subunit ribosomal RNA", at positions 569 to 1021 of the family's 1831-position model. The record is from RNAcentral. Lineage: Eukaryota; Fungi; Glomeromycota; Glomeromycetes; Diversisporales; Acaulosporaceae.